RNAcentral lists this ribosomal RNA (445 nucleotides) under uncultured bacterium. RNAcentral's name for it is "bacterial SSU rRNA". It matches the Rfam family "Bacterial small subunit ribosomal RNA", at positions 958 to 1399 of the family's 1533-position model. The record is from RNAcentral.
AACGCGAAGAACCUUACCAGGCCUUGACAUGGGUAGUAUGAAUUCCAUAAAGGGAAUUCUUCAGUUUGGCUGGCUACCACACAGGUGCUGCAUGGCUGUCGUCAGCUCGUGUCGUGAGAUGUUGGGUUAAGUCCCGCAACGAGCGCAACCCUCAUCCUUAGUUGCCAACACGUUAUGGUGGGAACUCUAAGGAAACUGCCGGUGAUAAGCCGGAGGAAGGUGGGGAUGACGUCAAGUCUUCAUGGCCCUUACGGCCUGGGCUACACACGUGCUACAAUGGCGGUGACAAUGGGAAGCUAACCCGCAAGGGCAUGCUAAUCUCAAAAAACCGUCUCAGUUCGGAUUGCACUCUGCAACUCGAGUGCAUGAAGCUGGAAUCGCUAGUAAUCGUAGAUCAGCAUGCUACGGUGAAUACGUUCCCGGGCCUUGUACACACCGCUCGCGA